ACGCUCGACACCUACAGGAGGCAGCAGUGGGGAAUAUUGCACAAUGGAGGAAACUCUGAUGCAGCGACGCCGCGUGAGCGAAGAAGUAUUUCGGUAUGUAAAGCUCUAUCAGCAGGGAAGAAAAAGGACGGUACCUGACUAAGAAGCCCCGGCUAAAUACGUGCCAGCAGCCGUGGUAAUCUGAGCGGGCUGGCAAGGC
This 199-nucleotide ribosomal RNA is filed under the name uncultured bacterium. RNAcentral describes it as "partial 16S ribosomal RNA". It matches the Rfam family "Bacterial small subunit ribosomal RNA", at positions 328 to 539 of the family's 1533-position model. The record is from RNAcentral.